AUUGAACGCUGGCGGCAUGCCUUACACAUGCAAGUCGAACGGCAGCGCGGGAGCAAUCCUGGCGGCGAGUGGCGAACGGGUGAGUAAUAUAUCGGAACGUGCCCAGUAGUGGGGGAUAGCCCGGCGAAAGCCGGAUUAAUACCGCAUGAGACCUGAGGGUGAAAGCGGGGGAUCGCAAGACCUCGCGCUAUUGGAGCGGCCGGUAUCAGAUUAGCUAGUUGGUGGGGUAAAGGCCUACCAAGGCAACGAUCUGUAGUUGGUCUGAGAGGACGACCAGCCACACUGGGACUGAGACACGGCCCAGACUCCUACGGGAGGCAGCAGUGGGGAAUUUUGGACAAUGGGCGCAAGCCUGAUCCAGCAAUGCCGCGUGCAGGAAGAAGGCCU
Molecule: ribosomal RNA, 387 nt
Filed under: uncultured bacterium
Lineage: Bacteria
Description: bacterial SSU rRNA
Rfam family: Bacterial small subunit ribosomal RNA
Source: RNAcentral